Long non-coding RNA from Tupaia belangeri chinensis (Chinese tree shrew), 953 nucleotides. RefSeq lists it as uncharacterized. Lineage: Eukaryota; Metazoa; Chordata; Mammalia; Scandentia; Tupaiidae. The transcript has 3 exons. The record is from RefSeq and is a predicted model, not a curated record.
AAGGUUUUCAAGCAGAUUUGGUACUAAAGGCCCAUAACUGUGGAAUAAACAAGAUGCUCAGGGCCCGCUGCCUACGCCCACCCCCAUGAGAAAGCCAGGUCUCCGCUGUCUGCCUGAGCCCUGCAGGGGGGAGGAGGGGGGAAAUUACCUCCCGCCCACGGAGCAGCCCCGCCUGGGGCUGGUGGAGACUCCUGUCCGCACAUGCAAUUAUGUUCUGUUCGCACUGGAUAUACGCUUGACUACAUACAUAUACUUCUAAAAAGACUUUUCUCCGCUGCCUUUCCUUUCUCAAGCCGUCUGGGCCAGCCUGCCAAACUGGGGAGGCAGGCCAAGAUCCUGAGCCAGCAAGCUCACUCUCCUUAAAGGGCCAUACCACCAGCCAGCAAGGCAGAGUACGUGAAAAGCGGGGAAACCACCAUGCCCACACCUCCCAAGACAAAGCUGGUCUCGCCGUGGGCAGGGCAGCUCUGGGAGUGGGUGACUAAUAGCAGCAAGGAGAAUGUUACAACCAGGGCAUCAACACACCUGAUGAACUGCCACGGGUUUAACGCGGUCAUUGCAUUCCCGUUCUGGAGAAGAGAGACAGAGCCUCGGUGGCCAGGCAUGCACACCCUAUAGCAAAAAUCUCUUAAAAAAAAGAAAGAAAGAAAGAAAGAAAAUAAGUGGCAAGGCUGUACAUGGAGUGGGCCAGCGUCCAACGCCUACUUUUUCAAGCCCUUAUAACCAGCAAUGCUGCUGCCUUGGCCCAGGACUGAAGUUAUCGAGUUGACCUGGGACUGAAGUUAUCAAGCCUCCUGCAAGUCCCCUCUUCAAAAGACCCUUCCUGGUAAUCAAGAUCUAAGAAGAAAAUGCACCAUACAAAAUGGACUCCUUCGUUCUAAGGAAUGUGUUUGGCUUCACCUGAUCAAACAGAACAGUGCAUCAUGUUUUAUGAUUAUUGUUUCCAUACUUUG